GCGCCCGUAGCUCAAUUGGAUAGAGCACCGGACUUCGGAUCCGGGUUGUUGGGGGUUCAAAUCCUCUCGGGCGUGCCA
This 78-nucleotide transfer RNA is filed under the name Candidatus Cloacimonadota bacterium. Its description in RNAcentral is "Candidatus Cloacimonetes bacterium tRNA-Arg". It matches the Rfam family "tRNA". From Rfam's summary of the family: Transfer RNA (tRNA) molecules are approximately 80 nucleotides in length. RNAcentral also lists the same sequence under 1 other name. Lineage: Bacteria; Pseudomonadati; Candidatus Cloacimonadota. The record is from RNAcentral.